Molecule: long non-coding RNA, 352 nt
Filed under: Vigna radiata
Lineage: Eukaryota; Viridiplantae; Streptophyta; Magnoliopsida; Fabales; Fabaceae
Description: long non-coding RNA (VRAD_LNC003201)
Source: RNAcentral
AAUAACAACAUUGAAACUUGAAUACGAGUACAGUCAUCCAAUAACCAGUCUUAGAGCUGAUAACAUACUAUUACAGUACUCCAUUAAAGUAAUUUUUCCCCUUCAUUAGAAAACAUAAAUUAAAGCAGAGGAUGAUGAUGACGGUAAGUCAGUUGGCCGAACAAAUUUGCGGAGGAUGGCAUCCACAUUGUCAUCCUUUUCUGCCCACAUUGGAAGUCGAAUGACAGGUUUUGGCGUUUCCUUCACCAACUCAACUGAUGGAUGACAAAUGUCAGGUGGAAAAACCUUCACAAUGUUGCGGUGAACGAUAUUGAGGUAGUGGUUGUUCCAUAUGAACAUAAGGAUUUCGCCU